UGGCAGAGGUCACUGCUAUCGGGGUUCGAUUAAGCCAUGCGAGUCGAGAGGGUUCGGCCCUCGGCGUACUGCUCAGUAACACGUGGAUAACCUGCCCUAAGGAAGGGGAUACCCCCGGGAAACUGGGUAUAAUACCCUAUAGAUUACAGAUGCUGGAAUGCCCUGUAAUCGAAAGUUCCGACGCCUUAGGAUGGAUCUGCGGCCGAUUAGGUUGUUGUCGGGGUAAUGGCCCAACAAGCCAGUGAUCGGUACGGGUUGUGGGAGCAAGAGCCCGGAGUUGGAUUCUGAGACACGAAUCCAGGCCCUACGGGGCGCAGCAGGCGCGAAAACUUUACAAUGCGGGCAACCGUGAUAAGGGAACCUCGAGUGCCUGUAUAUGCAGGCUCCAGGUGUCUAAAACACACCUGAAGAAAGGGCCGGGCAAGACCGGCGCCAGCCGCCGCGGUAAUACCGGCGGCUCGAGUGGUGGCCACUUUUAUUGGGCUUAAAGCGUUCGUAGCUGGGUCGUUAAGUCUCUUGGGAAAUCCGGCAGCUCAACUGUCGGGCGUCUAAGAGAUACUGGCGAUCUUGGAACCGGGAGAGGUGAGGGGUUCUUCGGGGGUAGGAGUGAAAUCCUGUAAUCCUCGAGGGACCACCUGUGGCGAAGGCGCCUCACCAGAACGGCUUCGACAGUGAGGGACGAAAGCUGGGGGAGCAAACCGGAUUAGAUACCCGGGUAGUCCCAGCCGUAAACGAUGUGCGUUAGGUGUAUCAACGACCACGAGUCGUUGAGGUGCCGAAGGGAAACCGUGAAACGUACCGCCUGGGAAGUACGGUCGCAAGGCUGAAACUUAA
RNAcentral lists this ribosomal RNA (834 nucleotides) under uncultured archaeon. RNAcentral describes it as "bacterial SSU rRNA". It matches the Rfam family "Archaeal small subunit ribosomal RNA", at positions 15 to 859 of the family's 1478-position model. The record is from RNAcentral.